UCAAUACGUCACGUUUCUAACCGAAAUGAGACAAACAAACUGGCUUUCAAACAAAAGUCCUGCUACCUGUUUGCUUUUGUCGGAAUCCGAGUAGCAGUUUUCUAAUGAAUUGAAACAUUUAAUUUACAAAACUGAGAUCUGAGCAACAGUUGGAUUUAUUAACUGCGUAUUUGUAAUAAGAGUCAAUGAGUCUGCAUUUGCAUUACAACAUCAAAGAACAGGCCGAUCAGGCUGGUUCUCUACACUGAGUGAGCUAUACCCCACCUGGGGGAAAUAAGACAUUACGUAAAGAAUUUCUCUCUCUUGAAGGACCCUCAGUCGAAUGGAUGCAUAGAUAUACUUCAUUAGAUAACUAGUUCCACAUAGUGGUGGUACGUGGUAAAAACUGGUUUAAAGAACGCUAAGUUGUGGAUCGACGGAAGUCGGGUUUAUACCGUAUUUCGUAUGGAAUUUUGUGUUCUACCUCGACGUCUGAUUAUAAAACUCUCUGAACGAAAAAACUGAUGAAUCGGAACAAUAUCGAUGAACACUCUGCACGAUGUAAAAUGACCCCUACAUCUUCUCCCGCAUUUCUACGCAACAUGUCAUAUAAAAUUAAAAAGGCUCUAAUAUCGUGUUUGAACUAUUUAUGAAAAACAAUGUGUACCGAAAUACGAACAAUAUAUAAUAUAAAGAUAUACAGGCCUCGAAUCGACACAAUUUAAAAACAGCAAACUAUUUUAAUCGAGUGAAAGUAAUAAUGUAUAUUUUCAGAUUUCUAUUAAAAAUAGAAUCGCUAUUUACAGUCUGCAUUUGCAAUGA
Molecule: long non-coding RNA, 801 nt
Organism: Pieris brassicae (large cabbage white)
Lineage: Eukaryota; Metazoa; Arthropoda; Insecta; Lepidoptera; Pieridae
Exons: 4
Source: RefSeq, a predicted model, not a curated record